This 84-nucleotide transfer RNA is filed under the name Hemiselmis tepida. The record is from RNAcentral. Lineage: Eukaryota; Cryptophyceae; Cryptomonadales; Hemiselmidaceae.
CUCUUUUGUUGACAUUCUUCCACGAAAAUAAGCAGCUGCUGUCAAAUAUCGUCCAUGUUUUGGAUCACAAGCGACCAUCAUGUU